GAUGAACGCUGGCGGCGUGCCUAAUACAUGCAAGUCGAGCGAACGGACGAGAAGCUUGCUUCUCUGAUGUUAGCGGCGGACGGGUGAGUAACACGUGGAUAACCUACCUCUAAUACUGGGAUAACUUCGGGAAACCGGAGCUAAUACCGGAUAAUAUUUUGAACCGCAUGGUUCAAAAGUGAAAGACGGUCUUGCUGUCUCUUAUAGAUGGAUCCGCGCUGCAUUAGCUAGUUGGUAAGGUAACGGCUUACCAAGGCAACGAUGCAUAGCCGACCUGAGAGGGUGAUCGGCCACACUGGAACUGAGACACGGUCCAGACUCCUACGGGAGGCAGCAGUAGGGAAUCUUCCGCAAUGGGCGAAAGCCUGACGGAGCAACGCCGCGUGAGUGAUGAAGGUCUUCGGAUCGUAAGACUCUGUUAUUAGGGAAGAACAUAUGUGUAAGUAACUGUGCACAUCUUGACGGUACCUAAUCAGAAAGCCACGGCUAACUACGUG
Molecule: ribosomal RNA, 497 nt
Filed under: uncultured bacterium
Lineage: Bacteria
Description: partial 16S ribosomal RNA
Rfam family: Bacterial small subunit ribosomal RNA
Source: RNAcentral